GUCAGAGUCAUAGCACUCAUGUCUCUCAGCUGCGGAAGUUCUUGGUUGAUGAUUUUGUAGUGGGUGUAUUAGUGGACAUCCAGGUGGAUGAUCGCCUGAAUUAUAUAAAGAGACCAGUGACGAUCAUUGACAAGAGGACAAAGACUCUAUAGAACAAGAUGGUGGAUAUGUGAAGGUGCAGUGGAAACACCGAAAGGGUUCUAAAUAGACGGGGGAGCCUGAGGACAAGAUGAUGGAGCAUGAGUCGGAGUUAUUUGUGGUAGCCGACUUCGAGAGUGGGGCAUUAUUAUAAAACCUGAUUCAAGGUACUUUUCAUUUUGACCCUUAGUGUGUAAAUAAUUUUUAAAUAUGGUCCCAAGGGGUGUAAAGUGAAACUUUAAGGGGGACGUGCGUACACUUGGCGUAUGUCAUCUAGGGACAAACCCUAUUUUUUAGGGUUUGUACCCUAUUUAAGCAUCAUUAUGACCCAUGAUCCCCUCAUUUCUCAACCUCUAUUACCCUUUUAGCCUUUUUUCGAAAUCCUAACCCAUUUAGAGAAGAUUUGACCUCUUUAUGUGUUUUGGUGAACCUUGAGGUAGAAGGAGCUUGACGAAGGAGCUUUGAUCAAGGGAGGGCUUCUAAAUCCCGAUUACACUUAACAUUCCUACCUUCAUUGAGGUAUACAACUUCGAACUUGCUCCUUGUAUGCUUAGAUCUAGUUCUAUGGAGUUUUGUUCACUUUUUAUUUCCAUGAAUGAAAUCUAGUGGGAUUCUUCCACUCUGGAAGUUAGGAUUGCUUCUCUUGAUGUUUCUGAGGUCCCUAGUCCAUAAAGUUAGUAUCUUGAUGGUUGAGGAUCAACCAAGCAUGUGUUUAUGUCCAUUUGGUGAAAGUAGGAUUCUAAAUCUAGGGUUUGAGUUCAUUUAAGCCAUGCAAAUGCUCUAAGUUAGUGACUUUAUGAAUUAAGACGUACCCCAAGGCUUGGAUUUGAAAUUUGGACGUCUAGUUGUAAGCAUUAAGUGCUUAAUGGANGUGCGUACAAUGGGCAUAUGCAAGCAUAUGCGUUCGUGUCCCUGAUCAGGAAAGCCACCUAGUACAUCGGGCGUACUUCAGGUACGUGCAACAUACUAGGCCUGGUCAUGGGCUCUGUGGGAUGGGCCUUCUUGGAUUUGGGCCCAUAUUAGGCUUUGGGUGUCCUUUAGGAAUUAGGCCACUAUUGGGCGUUUAGUGCCAUUAGGUUGGGCCACGGUUAUUGGCCCAAGUGCGGAAAGGGUAAAAUGGUCUUUUACCAUGAGUGUUGGACAAAUGAACUAGAUUCCCGGUCAAAAAUCACCAACCCGAACACGACCCAUUUAACUAUACAGGUCACUGAUUGGUGGGUGAUGGGUUGUUGGAUUUUGAACAUAAACCCAUAUAUGACCUGCCAAUCAACGUAUUUAUAAAGGUUCACAGGUUGGUGGGUUCGUAGGUUGGAUUUGGGUUCGUGGGUCAGAUUCCAUAAAUAAAAUGGAUUAUUAAACAUGAAUAAAUUCUUGAUGCAAACAUAUCCGAAUUUUAGACACCUAAGUCUUAAACAUUCAAAUGAAAAUUAAAAACAUACAUAGAAACAUGUUCAAACUAAAACAUUAAUAGAAAUGCCAAAUAACAAACGUGUGUAACAAGUCAAACGGUCAAUGGCAUCCUAUCCUAGUAUAUAAACUGUAUAAUACUUAAGUCUUAAUACAUUUAAAAAUAUAUAUAACUUUUUUACUAAAAUUGUAAACGGGUUGGCGGGUCAACCCGUAUAUUUUUUUAGAAACUCAUAUAUGACCUGUUUUAAUAAAUGGCUUGGUGGGUUAGCGGGUUGAAAACUCAGCCCAAACCGGUUUAUUUUGUGUUGUGUUGCGGGUCGUGUCGAGAAUUGUCAGGCCUAAUUCUCGGUUAUGGUUUAUGUCUAAUUAUUAAUUGGAGUUUUAUUUGAUUGGUUAAGGCAGAGAUUUUCCGGUUCAAUAGCCCGAUCAUCUGUUUGACUGACAGCAGACUGUAGUGAGUUUGAUCACUAUAUUGUAGGGCACUAGGAUAUGUUAUGUGCUUGUAGUCUUUGUGACUCCUGUUGUAUGUUUUGUAUGCAUAUGUGCCUUUUUGCUAUAUAUAUGUGGGGUGAAAUAGAUUUGGUACAACCUUGUGCCGACAUAUGAAUUAAAAUAGACUCUGGGAUCAAAUAGACCAGUACGGCUUGGGCCGACGCAUGAGUUGAAAUAGACUCGGGGGUGAAAUAAACCCGGUGGUGAAAUAGACUCGGAACAUCCUUGAGCUGGCAUAUAUGUAUGAUAAACGGUUUUUGGGGAAUUCACAAAGCUUCGAGCUUACGAUUUUCAGUUUAUAUUUCAGGUACUUCUGGAUCGAAGGGGAAGAGCUCGAUAUCAUCGCAUCGUACACACCAUGACUUUUCACCUAUUUGACUCUGAUGUGUGUUUGGAUGAUUAUGAAUACGUUAUGAAUUCCCUUUGGUUUUGCUAAACACGUCUGGUUGAUGUUUUAUUUAAUAUGAAAACAAAAAAUUUUGGUUUUGAAUUUUGGGACGUUACGAUUAGCUUGCAAAAAUCAUCAUACAGUCACACACACCACUACCCACACACGACAUACAUAAUGUGUGUGAUGCUCUGUGUGGAUCAUAUUUAUGGGAUUUAUCCCUCUUGGGUUAGAUACAAGGAAUAACAACGUACUUCUAACUUUCUAUUAGACUAUGUAAUUUUUUUUUUUUUUCUUAUUAACAUAUUGUAACUUAAAAAAUAUAACCUAUAUGAUAUUUACAUAUCGUGUUUUUUUACAUAAUAUAGAAUACAGAACAUCAUAGAAAGCAUGUUUUUGAUCUUAAGUAUUAACUUAUACUAACAUUUCCCUAAUUUGUUUAUAUUCUUCUAUGUGACCAUUUUAAGUCUUUUAAAUUUUUAUAAAUUUGCCAUGAUUUUUUUAAAAAAAAUUUAAGCAUCGUUUAUAAAUGACUAUAAUCUUUUUAUUUUAGGCUAGAUGUAUGAUAUUGAUACAAUUUGCUACAAAAUGGUCAUUUAUGUUAACGUUGUAAACAAUUUCACAUUAUUGUGACUUGGUACAAAUUUCGACUUCCCAGUGUGAGAUUGAACCGAUAGGUGAUGAAAUAUUUUAAUGUUUGCGGUGAGACAUGUAACUAUCUCAAUAAAUGAUAGCCCUUGGAUUCAGUCUAGAUAAAAUGUUCACCCUUUAAAAUAAUUAUUUUUUAAGUUACUGAGAAACCUCUACAUCAUGCGGGAUUUCGGAGUUGGGACUUUGUAAGUUUUUUGUAUUGUUUUGUAUGUUAUGUUAUGUUGUUGGAAUGUGUGUUUGAUUUAAUAUUCAAUUUUCUGAAAUACGAGACCAAUGGAGGGUAUUGCACUAGAUUUGUGCGUCAUUAUACUGUAUGAAAAUAAUUCGACGACGAUAUUAAUAUGGUAAACAUAUAUAAUAUUAUAUCUACAAUUGGGACCAAUACCCUUUGUUCAUCCGAUGAUUCUAAUUGUGAUGAGUUAAAAAUGAAAAAAAAUGGUCUACAAGGAUCAUAGAUGGUGAACGAUAUACAUUGGCGGAUGCUUUAUGGGACCAUGUAUUCCAACGAUCACAUCUAUAAUACCAACAUCAUUGGUACUUAUUGUUAGAUGCUGUGUUAAUGUUAAUAAAAUCAUCAUAUUUUGUUUCUCAUUUCUGUUGUUGUGUAAAUACAUUUCGUCUGUUAUCGGUAAUGAUUAAGAUGUCAAUUCAAACAAGUCGAAGUCUGAGGUAACGAUGAAAUAGUGAAGUAGAUUAGGAAAUACGUUAGGACAUAUGGUUUUAAAUAUCAAAACUACUUAUCUUAUUCUAAACCGUUUAAUUUAAUUUUAUUAUGAUAUGUGUGUUGUUUUCUCUAUUUUAUGUAAUUGUACGAGGAAAGCAAUGAUUAAAGUAUGCCGUAUAUAAUUAUUAUUAGAAGUUAAAUUUGAUUUUUAGUAGUUUUAUAUGUUAUCAACCUUCUUCUAGUUCUUCUAUUUUUAGUUUUCUAAAUUUAUUUGUAUGUUAUUUUAUAUUGUUGGAAUGCUUGAUUGAAUUGACAUUUUAAUGUAUUGAAAUACCCAACCAACAUGUCAUUUCCAAACUCAUGUUACGUGCUUGAAUUAACAAAUUAAAAAUUAUAUGAAAUUGAAAGUGAAAACUAAUUUUGUUAACAUUUUCAUUAUAUUGAAAUAGAUAUCUUGGGAACAUGUAUGAUACUGCUUUAUGUAAAAAAUAGAAUCAAAAUAGUGGUCGUCAUUGUGAAAGAAUAAGUAAAAAAUUUUAUGAAAUAUGUCAAAUUGUUUAUAACAUCUUUAAACAUAUGUUAUUUCUAACACUAUGGUGUAUGGGUACGAAAACCCCCCGUUACAGAUGAUAUGACAGCCUAAAACGGGGUGGUAAUAUCAUGGACACCAUAGUGGUAAAUCUUGUCUAAAGGUUUAUGCAUUUUAUGCUAUCAUGUAGACUUUUUAUUUCCCAUGUUAGGAUGUGUAGUUGCGUAUAGAAUGUUUAUAUGGUCUUUACAAUUUCAAAAGGCAAUAUGGUUGAAAUCUUGAAGGGAGAAAAGAAAACGUACAUGACAUUAAUAAAGUUGAUCAAAUUGAUGUUAGAAAAUUACUCUUUCUUAAUUCUUAGUGUCUUGUUGGUUAAGUUUUAACUUAUGUUGUCAAUGGUUGUAAAUUAUGUCUUAAGAGUCAAUUUGAUUUUUUGGGUUAAAAGAGUCAAUUUGUGAAAUUAGGAACCGAAAAGAACAUGUUAACUAUAAAAUUUCGAAGAGAUGACACAAAAGGCUUGCUAGCCGAGUUGGUAAGGCAUGAGUGAUGUUGAUCUAUAGGUCCGGGUUUCAAAACUUACAACCCUCAAAUUUGUUUUGAUUUAUUUUGUGUUGCAAAGACAAUAAGUUUAAAAGGAACGAGAUGUUUAACGGGUUCCUUGGUAGAUCAACUGGUAAGAACCGUGUUUGAUGUGUUACAGGUCCCGAGUUUGAAUAUUGGGAACCUCAAAAAUUCUUUUAUUUUUUUUUUGUGUACACAGUGCAAAAAUUCGUACCCCGAGCCGCAUAGUGUCGAGCCGUACACCGAGGCUGCACACCCUAGCCGACCGCUGUAAAAUUUGGUAAAAAUAAGAACCAUCGUACGAUGCUAUGUUUUGAUUAUUAAGCAAUAUGAGUAUUUUAUCAAGAAUGGUUGAAGGAAUUUAACUUCUUUUAUUUAAAUAAGUUAUUGUGAAAUAUAAAACACGUACCUAUUGAUAAAUUUCGUUAUGAUGUAUGGCUACGAACCAUCACCGGUUUCUGAAAUUAGCAUAUAAUAUCAUUUAAACGCAACAAACUUAAUUUUUGUAUCAACAUUUCUGUAGUUGAUAAGUAAGUUAGGUUCUAUGUAAAAUGUUUGCUUAAUAGAUGUGGAGGAUCUAAAUUUGACAAAUAUACGAACCAAAGUGACAAAACGUGUUUAACUAUAUGGUUAACCGGUUAAAUGUCACGAAAUUAUACAUUGGUCAAUAAAUUUUAUAUUUAAAUAAAUUAAAAUAUAAAAUGAGUUAUUAUAAGGUAUAAUUAGAAUGUAUUUAAGUGUUUUUGAAUAAAAAGAAUAAAACAUAAACAUUAAAGUUCAAAUACACAAAAACUACAUUGUUAUUUUAUACUAAGUAUACAUGUAUGUAUUUGUAUAUAUGUAUUAUUAUCUAGUGAAUGACUAGUUAUAAGUCAUGAAUUAAAAUGAUUUCAUGUAAGUUUUAUGAUGUCUAAAUCAAUUAAGAUAAGAGAAUUGGUGGAGAUAAGUGCCAACUUAACUAAUAAGUGCUUAAUCACUUAAGACAUUUUACUAAGAAUGCUUAUUAAUCCCUCUUCUAAUUUUCGAGAUUAAGACCUUCCCUCUCCUUAACUAGAACUCCUAACUAACUAAAUAACUAGUAGUUAGUUAGUUAACUAACUCUAUCUCUAAACAACCACCCAAGCAAGUGGCUAGACAAGAUCACAUCACUUAAACUCACAUCCCAUCACAAGCUAGUCUAGGUUUUGUCCCCUUAUCCUCUUCCACCCUUUCCUCCUUCAUAACCACGAAAUUUCCUCUUCAUUUUACCCUCAUUUGACCAGCCAAUACUCCAAGUAAUUACUCUCAACCUUCAUCUCAUUUUCAAGCACAAGAACUUCCUUCCAAAGCCAUCAAAACCAUGAACUAAAGGGUUGCUGUCCCUUUUGUGUUUCAGCCACCAUUUCACCCAUCUACACCUUCCUUUUGCUUGAUAUUUUUACCACCAAAUACCCCUGGAAGUUACUUGUUAUGAUACUCAAAAUUAUUGAUUCAAAACAGUGAGUAAACUACCCUUUUUCUUGCUCUUUUGCUGUGAAAUUUUCGUGACAGCAACAUAGCCAAAAGAGUGGCUGUUUUGGAGCAUCAAACCAACAACCAAAAGUUCAUCUUCAACUUUCCAUUCUUCAAGUAUUCACAUAAGGUGAGUUCAUACCCCUACAUUUUCAUGUUUUAUUCAAGUUUUAAGGGGGGGAAUACAAGUUAGAACACUAAACAUAACUUAAAUUUAAAUGACAACUUUCUACAGAAAAGUUGAGUCCUGUUCACGGACUGUUUUGACCAUCUUAAACUUAAUAUCUUUCAAAACUGUACAAUAUGCAAAUAUUUCAAGUUUAUAACUUUCUAAGGCCUACUUGCACGCGUUCAUACGAUUUGUCUACAAUUUAUGGCGAUUUUAUAAAACUGUCUGUCAUUUCAGAAGUGAUUUCGGACCAGUUAGUGAAGAUGUUCAUUUUCACACUAGUUUGAGACCACUAAAAAUCAUAAUAAAAAUUAGGAACAAAGUAGACUCAUUUUAUAAACUCUCAGAGGUGACGGAUUCAGUUUUUGACUUACGAGGAUUUUUCUAUGAGUUUUCUAAAAACAGGGACAGUAAAGGGUAAAACUGUCAAAAGUGGUUUAUAGAUUUAUUAACACCUUCUAACAUUUUUGAGCAAUGUUUAUACAUUAAGGAAGUUAAAACACAAUCAUUUAAAUAUGUUUAAUUACCAUUUUUACAAAAGUGAUAAGUACAAAAAGGUCUUUAGUAUCAAACUUAAGGAUUAUUUCAUGCAAAGUUUCUAAUAAAAACGUAAGAAUAUGAACAACAAUUACGAAACAUACCAAAUCAUCUUUUAAAAUUUAUACAUAUAUAUAACCAUAUACAUAUAUAUGUUUUGUUUACAAACUUGUCUUCUACAUCGAAAAUAUACAUAUAUAUGUUUUGUUUACAAACUUGUCUUCUACAUCAAAAAUUACACUUUUCAUAACAAGUGAACAUUUUACUAGGGAUUACUAUGCAAACGAGACACAUUUUUAGAAAACUAUAAUAGGUAUAGUUUUACGAGAGCAUUACAAACUUUUACAUACUAGAAACACUAUUUCAAGAAGUUUACUUUCAUAUACAAGAACAAACGAACAUUUUUUCACGUAAAUCUGUUUUAUACUAAGUUUUGUGAGACAUCAACUUCACGUACGUUCGAGUACGCAUUUCAAGUCCUAUAUUAUAUACCAGAAUCCCUUGGAGGGGGAGCAUGGUGUUUGUGUAUAGAUCUAUACGGGCUUGACAACCCGCGCCCUGACUGUUAGCUACAGUCCACCAUUUGGGGUGACAAACGUCAGAACAUUCCAACGCCUGAAGAACGUUGUGUAUAGGCAUUUCUAGUCAAUAGCAUGGUUAUAAAACUCACAUGGAGUAUUAAAAACACAUUGAUUUACGGGGCUUUUCAGACGUAUUGGAAAUUUUAUACGUACAUACAUUUUCUAGAAACAAACAUUGGUCUUGAAAGAAUGCUACAUUUAUGCUAGUAGAAAAUAUAGGAUUUUCUAGGAACAAACAAACAAGAAUAAAACAUUUCAUUUCAUACAAACAUUGUCAUUUAAUACUUAUGAAACUCACCAGCUUAAAUGCUGACCUACUCUUUCAAAACUACUUGUAUGUCCCAGGGAUUCAGUAAUUACAGGUAACAAAUAGCUUUUGAAGAAGGGACUCUGCGGUGCCAGUUUAAAUUCAUAUUUUGGCAUUUUAUUGUAAUUGGUUUUGAAUAUGUACCUAGGGGUGGCAAAAGCUGACACAACACGACAAAAAUACACAACACGAAACGAAAUUGGGACGAAAUCGAAUUUCGAAUUCGUGUUCGUGUCGUUUCCGUGUUGUUUAUAAAAAACUCGAAGUCGUUUCGUGUCGUGUUCGUGUUCAGAAUUCAAAACGAAAUUAACCCGACAACAACACGAAAUUAAAACGAUAGUAACCCGACAACAAACACGAUUAAACCGAUAUUUAUACAAAAUUAUAACUUACAACUUUUUAAUAAUAUAUUAAUAAUAUUUAUAUAUUAUAUAUAAAAAUAAUCAAUUAAAUCCAAACUGUUCAUGUAUUGGGAACCUAGAAGGAUAGAACGUUAUGUGCUUAAAAUUAAUUCCAAAUCUCCUUUGAGAACUCAACCGACAUCUCGAGUCUCGCCUCUAUCAUAUGAUUCCAAUGAGCCUGCUAUUACUUCUUCUUCUUUUAACCGGAUUCGAUGACAACUCCUCAACCUUAAAUAAAGACCUUUGAUUGUUCCCCAUUUUAAUUUCUCUCCUCAAGUUAAUUUCUCCUCACUGCUAUAUCAAAAGAAUUGACGCCUAAGAAGUAAGAAGUGUCUGUUUUCCUUUUUCAUUGCUACAAAGUCUUGUUGCUAAAUAUUCGUUGUUCGCUUGCUGCUCUUGUUUAUCGUUACCGAUCGGUAAGUUUUUUGUUUUUUUAACCCCUAAUUUUUAUUGUUGUUGUUGUUCAUCAUUGUCCGUAUGCUCUGAUAUUCAAGAAAUCGAUUAUAAAAAUUGAUUGUAGUUGUAUGUUGUUGCUUAUCGUUCCUCAUUCGAUGCUGGCUUGUUUCCCUUUUCUUAUUGUUGAUAUGUAUGAGUAUGCUCUACUCUACUUUUCAAGAAAUCGAUUAUAGAAACUAGUUCAUGUUCUUUUUCAUUGGUAAUUUCCUGAAAUUGAAUAUAAGAUCUGUUUAUAUGUUUAUUGUAUUUGUGAACUUUCUUUCCUCUUAAAUCGGUUACAAGAUAUGUAUGCUAUUAUGCUUUAUUCAAAAAAAAAUGGCAUUUGUUUUACUAUUUCAAACUUUGCUUUUAUUUUUCGACUUCUCACAUAUAGUUAUGCUUAUGUUUUUAUGAACUUGUAUACACUUGCCUUUUGAUCAUAUUUUUAUGCUUUGUAUCUUUUUGUUUGUUCUUCUUUUGUUUAUCUGAACUUGUAUGAUCUGCACCAGCAGUUUAUCACUUUUUUAAUAUGAAGAAGGCAAAGCUUGGUAAAAUACACACACCUUCUGCAGAUGUUGCUCCACAGGUAUUUUUCUGCUUUUAACUUUUCUAUUUUUCUACUUCCAUAUUUUCCAUUGUUCUGCUUUUAAAGGUUCUAUUUUUCUACUUCUAUUUUCUUUCUGAUUUUUGCCUUCUAUUUGGUUUUUAGGAUGCUGAACUUGAAGAAGAUAUCGAUGGCAUUGAUGUUCUGGAGGUAGAUGUUAAAGUCGAAGGUGAGGAACGUAAGAUUACAAUGGAAAGAGAAAGAUGGUCUAAGGUAUGGAAAUUUUUUCAAAGACUUCCAAUUGGUUCUGAUGGAAGGGAAAGGGCACAAUGUAAGAGGUGCUUAAAAAGAUAUAUUUGUGAAACUAAGAAUGGGACGGGUAGCUUAAGAAAUCACAUAAACAAGUGUCCUAGAAGGGAUGAAAAGGACGUAACACAAAUGCUUUUUGCAAAAUCAGGUGGUUCUAUGUUGAUAAACUCUAUGGUUUUUAAACCUGAAUGAUUUCGUGAAUUUGUUAGUCAAGCUAUUAUCAAACAUGACUUGCCCUUGAAAUUUGUUGAGUAUGAGGGAAUUAGGGAAAUAUUUCAGUACCUAAAUAAAAAUGUGACCACCAUUACCAAAAACACUGCAAAAUCAGAUGUCAAGAACUUAUUUAAGAGAGAAAAAGUGAGACUUAAGAAUCUGUUAGAAUUGCAUCAAGGUAGAGUUUCAUUAACUUCAGAUUUAUGGACUUCAAUUAACACAGAUGGUUUCUUGUGUGUUACAUGUCACUUCAUUGACAAGGAGUGGAAAUUGCAAAAGAGAAUUUUGAACUUUCAUUAUAUGCCACCUCCACAUAAUGGGGUAUGUUUAACUGAAAAGAUAUCUUCUUUGAUAUCUGAAUGGGGGAUCGAAAAAAAAUUAUUCACUAUCACGUUAGAUAAUGCUUCAAGUAAGGAUACAUUUGUCAAUUUACUAAAGGGUCAUUUAUGUAAUGAAGGUGCACUUCGCAGCAAUGGAGAUUAUUUUCAUAUUCGAUGUUGUGCUCAUGUGUUAAAUUUAGUUGAGCAAGAUGGGUUGAAAGCUAUUGAUGAAGGGAUUGUUAAAUUGCGAGAAUCUGUUAAGUACGUAAAGGGUUCCCAAGUAAGGAAAGGAAGGUUUAUUGAUUGUGUAAAAUAUGUUAAUUUGAAUCCAAAAAAGGGUUUGCGACAAGAUGUUCCUACGAGAUGGAAUGCUACUUAUCUUAUGAUUGAAAGUGCUAUAUUCUAUCGUCGUGCUUUUUUUCAUUUAGCAUUGAGUGAUUCUAAUUAUUUGGAUUGUCCAAGUAAUGAUGAGUGGAAUAAGUUAGAGAAGAUUUUCAAAUUUUUAGAGGUAUUUUAUGAAGUUACAUGCAUAUUUUCGAGAAAUAAAUAUUCUACAGCAAACUUAUACUUUCCUUCGGUUUCCAUGGUUGAAAAAACUUUAAGAGAAGAAAUGGAAAGUUCAGAUAAAUUUAUGAAGAAUAUGGCUAGAAAAAUGUAUGAGAAAUUUUCGAAGUAUUGGUCGGAGUAUAGUAUGAUUUUGGCCAUGGCAGCAGUUUUGGACCCACGUUAUAAACUACAGUAUGUUGAGUUUACUUACAAAAAACUCUAUGGCAACAGUUUUGCUAGCCAUAGUGAUCGUAUACGAGAGAAGCUACAUGAUCUUUUUAGUGAGUAUAUUAGUGAUUAUAGUACUGAACCACCUGUGAAUUGUAGAUCAUCAGCAACUUCAACAGGUGAUACAAGUAAAGUUGUGCACAAAAAGAAAAGUGACACAAUGCUAAGUAAGAGCACACAAGACAUGUUAAAAGUAAGUUUUUUUUUUCUUAUUAAUGAAUAUAUUGUUCUUAUUAGUUAAUUUUAUAACUUUGUAUAUUUUUUUAGGAGUUCAAGGAUUAUGAAAGUAAAGAGUUUGCUUUGUCUCAAAACUCACAAUUGGAGAUGUAUUUAGAUGAGCCAAAAAGUGACAUAGGUGAAGAUUUGGAUGUUCUUUCUUUUUGGAAAGCCCAUCAACAUCGUUAUCUGGAACUUGCUUCCAUGGCUCGAGAUAUUUUGAGCAUUCCGGUCUCCACUGUAGCAUCCGAAUCUGCCUUUAGUAAUGGUGGUCGUGUACUUGAUCAAUAUCAAAGUUCGUUGAAUCAUGACAUUGUUGAGGCUCUAAUUUGUUCAAAAGAUUGGCUUUUUGGAAUUAAAGGUGAUUGUGUUUUUUACACCUAUUGAAAACUUUUUGUUUAGUGUUUAACCAUUUUUAAUAUAUACAUAUAUAAAUAUAUAUGUUAUUGUUUUGUAGGUGAUGAAGAAUUGUGUUUACAAGAGCUUACCGAUGAUAUUAUGGAAGAUGCUAGAAAUAACAAUAAGCAUGAAUCGAUGGAGGCAUAGUUUUUAAUGGAUUUUUUGAUGUCACAAGUUUGAAACAUUUUAGUAUUAGUUUAUGUGAUGUUUGUUGUGUUGUUUUGGGUUAAUUUUAGUCAUGUUUGUCGUGUUUUGCUGACUUUUUAAGAGAACUUAUCAAUGAAAUGAUUAUUUUAUGUUUUUUGUCGUGUUGUCGUGUAAUUUCGUGUUUUUCGCGUUUUAAUCGGUUCGUGUUCGUGUUAGCAGAAAAAAACACGAUAUCGUUUCGUUUCGUGUUCAGGUUAUGGAAAAGAAAUUCAUGUCGUGUCGUGUCAGGUGAAAACACGAAACGACUGCCCGAAUUGCCACCUACCUUUUAACAAUGUAAACUUUCAAUUAUAUAUAUGAUGGUUGUAUUGCUUUCUUUACUAUGUAUUCAUUUGUUACGUUACCACAUGAAGUCAUCCGCCCCCGAACGUUUCCGCCGUUCCGGUUUGGGGGUGUGACAGAUUGGUAUCAGAGCAUUGUUUAUAGUGAGCUAAGUAUAUCAAACCACAUAAGAUAUACAAACUAUAAAUACAUAGGGACUAAAACUCUCUGACUUAACAAUUUCAAAACAGGAACAUUAGGGGUCCUUUGCUGUUAUGUCUAUGUUUGCUAAGUGUAUACGUUAAGGUGGUAUAUACUAAAAGUUUUAUAGACUUAGAAUUUGUGAUUUUCACUUUACUUCCUUUUCCUUGUUUGGAUGUGGAUAUAAGGUAAGAUCACUUAUUCGAGUGACUAUUUAAUCUUGAUUGUUUAUGACCUGUAUACACAAGGCAACCAUAGAAGGACCAGGAAUGGACCGAGAUUUCACGAAAAAUGUAAGUGCAUACAAACAUACUAGUAAGGAGUCAUAUUGGCAAUAAAAAAAAGUAUUAAGAUAAGUUAAACACUGCGAGUAAGCCUCGGGGUAUGUAAUCAUGUCUGGGAUGAAUAUAGCCUGAUCAACUAUAUUUAUCCAAGAGGUGACCAACGUAUGCCGAGGAAUGGUCGUAGUGGAUGAUGGGUCUAAAACUUACCAACAAACUAUACAAAGAAAAUUUAACAUACAAAUUUAAAAUACUAUAGGAGUAUUUUGCGUUACAAUAGAACCACACACUUAGAUUCUUCAUAUGCUUCUUACCCCUAUUCUCGCAUAGGCAUAUCAGCUAGACUUCAUCUCCACAUAGACCCCUACUAUCCUGCCACCGAAGCCAAUAGAUGGAUCAAGAAGGAUCCAGAAGAAGAUUUCGAAGAGUACCAAUAGAUGAAAUACGAGGAAGAAGAUUUCCGAGAAGGGACCAGAUGGAGAAAGAAGUUCGGGAGAUACCAUCAAUAAACCUUACCCUAUCAAGAGGAGUGUGAGAACCUCCACCUCUCAUUUCAGGAAGCAACCCGCAAUUAACUACCUAGCCACACAUAUAGACUGGAGAGGACAACCGAUGAUCCACAACCGACAUAAACUCACUGCACCGUACUUCGGGCCAUAGCACCCAUAGACCGGCAAGCAGAUCAAGAGAGCAAUACGGAUCACCUACACUCCUUAGAAAAGGAGAUAGUCGUUAUAGGAGAAAGAACCCUUACAGCUACAACCUGGACAGUCAUCACAGAACUGAGAACAGAGGAGGCCACUCGCGAAAUAGAAUCAUGCCGACACAUGAAGGUAAUUAGCAUACUGGUGCAAUACUAGUUCUAUAAAUAGACCCUACAACAUUUCGAAUUGCGGUAACAGCCACCAUGACAACAGUCAUGGCACACCUCGGCACUAACAACACAAACAAAAGCGGGAACGACGCCGAAAGUUCCAAUCGUAAUAACAACCAGGGACACCCCGAGUAUGUUUCUGCAACGACGCCCCAANCACCAAUCCACGAUACCUCAACUUGUACAACAAACAGUGACAUUCCAUACCACCACUAUCCCUACUACCUCAGUGCCAACAAGACCAUAUGUUGGAAACCUGCCAAAAUGCACCAAGUGUAGCUUUCAUCACAAAGGAAAGUGCAGUGAAAUGCACUGCAAGAACUAUAAUGAAAAGGGGCAUACCACAAAUUUCUGUAAGGUGUCGGCUCAACAGACCGCCCAGAACACAAAAGCUGGGAUGAGUCGGACUUGCUACAGAUGUGGAGAAGUAGGGCAUUUCAUAAAGGAGUUUCCGGACACUAAAAACAAAGAUGUCAGGAGCGUCAGAAGCGUUUUAGCAACAAAGCGUGGGAAAGCAGUAAUAGACCCCGCUAUGAUUCCGGUACGUUCAUUCCCGAUAGCACAUAUGCAUGGAUACUAUAUAAUAGCAACGCGGAGAGGAGUAUUGUGAGUCGUAGAUUUAAUCAAUUUCUCAACCAAAAACCUCAAAAACUUAAACGAAAUAUUUACAGUAGAAUUGGAAUAAUCAAAAGCACUAGAGACGUGUACAUAGGGUGCACUCUAACACUAAAUCAACCAAUUCAUUCAAAUCAUCCUAAAACCGGUCACAAUAAAAAUUUACGACAUUUUCAUUUUAACAACGUAUUAGUUAGUUUCCUCACCAUACCGAUAUCAUAUAUUACGAAAAGUCCAUUCGCCUAAACCCAUCGAGUAAUAGAACCCUCGUUGUCUAUAACGACAAACCGGACACAAUCCCCCGACUCACCUUUUGCAACAAGACUCAGAAGUACCUACACAGGAGGCACCACGCCGUCCUAGCCUGUGCUGUGGAUAAGAAACAAGAAGAGAAAGACAUCAUGGAUGUUGAAAAAGCCCGUAACCUUCUCGAUAUAUUCCGAGAAGAUCUCCUGGGAAUACCAUCCAUACGGUAACCCGAGUUCAAAAAUCAACCUAAGUGUAGUAGUUGCGGAAAAGGGUUGUGGUAAAUGCCAUCUCACCCAAGUUAAUCACCCCACUCAAGUAGAGACUAUGGACCCAUACUAGUGAAUCUAUGAUUACUAAGUGUAUAUAUUGGAGCCCUAUAUAAUUAAGAUUCUACGGACUUAGGGUUGGUAAUUCCGCUUUAAAUCCUUUUCCUUGUUUGGAUGUGGGCUUAGAAUAGAAUCACCGAUUCGACUGUCUUUUCAAUCUUAAUUAUAUACGACUUAUAAACACAAAGAGAUGAUAGAUGAAUCAGUUAUGAGUCAUACCAUGAACUCCAUGACAAGUUACCCAGGACAGUGGAUGGACAUGCUACCACUUGAGCGAUCGUAGACAAAUCAACCAAACCCACACACUUUCUACCGACCAAGGAUACAAAGAAAAAUAGAAAAGCUAACAGGAGCAUAUACAAAGAAAAUUGCGAGACUGCAUAGUAUACCACUAUCUAUCAUUUUGGAUAAGGGACAGGCGAUUCGCCUCGUGUUUUUAAUAGUCGUUAAAGAAGUCCUUUUUAUCACCCUCAAACUGAAAGACAAAGAGGAAGAACCAUUCAUCGAAUCCUUAUACAACAUCAACUAUUACAUUAACAUCAAGGUCGCGUCAUUCGAAGCUCUCUGCAGAAGCAAGUGUAGAUCACCUCUUUGAUGGGAUGAGGUAGGUGACACACAAAUAGCUAACAGGCAAGUUCCUAACAACACUCUCACCAGCCCCCAGAUCAUACGAGAAACUAUAGAGAAGAUUGUUCAAACCCGUGAAUGAUUGAAGGCAUCCCAGGAUUGGAAGAAGAGCUUGUCUGAUGAGACUCUUGUUAUUCCACUGGAUGAAAUUGAAAUCAACGGGAGUCUAAACUUCAUCGAAGAACCGGUGGAAAUCAUGGAUCAGGAGGUCAAAAGGACGAAACAAAGCCGCAUACCCAUAGUGAAGGCCCGUUGGAACGCCAAGCGAGGACCUGAAUUCACUAGGGAACGCGCGAAUCAAAAAAAAAAAAAAAAAAAAAAGAAACACCCCCAAUUGUUUAGUGAUAUCCCGUCUACAAGUUGAAUUUCGGGGCGAAAUUCUUUUAACGGGGGGAGAAUGUAACAAUUGGUAAAAAUAGGAACGAUCGUACGAUGCUAUGUUUUGAUUAUUAAGCAAUAUGAGUAUUUCAUCAAGAAUGGUUGAAGGAAUUUCACCUCUUUUAUUUAAAUAAGUUAUUGUGAAAUAUAAAACAAGUAGCUAUUGAUAAAUUUCGUUAUGAUGUAUGGCUACGAACCAUCACCGGUUUGUGAGAUUAGCAUAUAACAUGAUUUAAACGCAACAAAAUUAAUUUUUGUAUCAACAUUUCUCUAGUUGAUAAGUAAGUUNNNNNNNNNNNNNNNNNNNNNNNNNNNNNNNNNNNNNNNNNNNNNNNNNNNNNNNNNNNNNNNNNNNNNNNNNNNNNNNNNNNNNNNNNNNNNNNNNNNNNNNNNNNNNNNNNNNNNNNNNNNNNNNNNNNNNNNNNNNNNNNNNNNNNNNNNNNNNNNNNNNNNNNNNNNNNNNNNNNNNNNNNNNNNNNNNNNNNNNNNNNNNNNNNNNNNNNNNNNNNNNNNNNNNNNNNNNNNNNNNNNNNNNNNNNNNNNNNNNNNNNNNNNNNNNNNNNNNNNNNNNNNNNNNNNNNNNNNNNNNNNNNNNNNNNNNNNNNNNNNNNNNNNNNNNNNNNNNNNNNNNNNNNNNNNNNNNNNNNNNNNNNNNNNNNNNNNNNNNNNNNNNNNNNNNNNNNNNNNNNNNNNNNNNNNNNNNNNNNNNNNNNNNNNNNNNNNNNNNNNNNNNNNNNNNNNNNNNNNNNNNNNNNNNNNNNNNNNNNNNNNNNNNNNNNNNNNNNNNNNNNNNNNNNNNNNNNNNNNNNNNNNNNNNNNNNNNNNNNNNNNNNNNNNNNNNNNNNNNNNNNNNNNNNNNNNNNNNNNNNNNNNNNNNNNNNNNNNNNNNNNNNNNNNNNNNNNNNNNNNNNNNNNNNNNNNNNNNNNNNNNNNNNNNNNNNNNNNNNNNNNNNNNNNNNNNNNNNNNNNNNNNNNNNNNNNNNNNNNNNNNNNNNNNNNNNNNNNNNNNNNNNNNNNNNNNNNNNNNNNNNNNNNNNNNNNNNNNNNNNNNNNNNNNNNNNNNNNNNNNNNNNNNNNNNNNNNNNNNNNNNNNNNNNNNNNNNNNNNNNNNNNNNNNNNNNNNNNNNNNNNNNNNNNNNNNNNNNNNNNNNNNNNNNNNNNNNNNNNNNNNNNNNNNNNNNNNNNNNNNNNNNNNNNNNNNNNNNNNNNNNNNNNNNNNNNNNNNNNNNNNNNNNNNNNNNNNNNNNNNNNNNNNNNNNNNNNNNNNNNNNNNNNNNNNNNNNNNNNNUCACAUCAUCCCCCCGUUAGAGGGAAUUUUGUCCCGAAAUUAGGGGUUUGGCAAGGGAGUUGGCAUGAACAAUCUGGUAGAGAGAUGAGGGUACUUUCUAUUCGGUUGGUCUUUGCGCUCCUAAGUGAACUCCGGCCUUUGCUUCGUGUUCCAACACGCCUUCACUUAACUGGAUGCGGAUUUCGUUUCGUUCACUUGUUUGCACGGUUCGCAAUUCCUACAGGUUUCCUUACGAAUCUAGGUGUCACACCCCGCUAAAAUGGAAGUAUAAAGGGUUUCAUAGCAAAAGUUAAAAGAUAACACCAAACAUAGUAUUAAAAAACAUUACAAGUUUACAAUGGGUUUGAACAAAUUUUAAAAGAAAUUACAAUGUAAAUUGAAAUACAACACAUGUGAAUGCUCCUAAAAGUGAAGUGUCCCUAAGUGCCACUUACUCGAUGAUUCCUGAAAAAGCAUGUAAAACGAGCGUCAACUAUAAAAAUAGUUGGUGAGUACUCACAAGUUUAACAAAAUAAUAUUGGUUCAUGAAUUGAAAUCAAGGUUUUGAUAAAAGUUUCCAAUAAUAAAAGUAUAUUGUUAAAAGGAGUAAAUAAGUUUGUAAAAACAAAGUUAUUUGUCAUCAUGAGAGAUAAAGUAUGUUGCCCGAGUAAGAUGCAACAUUCAUAUUCUCAUGGAAGAUAAAAUUCGUUACACAAACGAGUAAACAAGUUUCAUUGCUAAAAUGAGCAAUCAAUUUCAUUGCUACAAGGAGCAAACAAUUCCAUUGCUAAAACAUGUAUAUAAGUUUUCAGUAAUAAAAGUUCGUUGUUGUAAUGAGAAACAACGUUCAUUGCUAUAAUGUGAAACAAAGUUGAUUGCUAUUAUANAAGUUUAUUGCUAUAACGAGAAACAAGUUUGUAUGUGUAUGAGCAAACAAUGAGUCUCAACCAAACCUAUGACUGAAGCCCUAUCAAGAUCUAUGCUUAUCGUUCCAUAGAUGAAUAUGGUAUCAUGCACUCCAGCAAUAGGGCGGGUGAGGAGUUGUCAAUUCCUAAUAGCGCUAUCCAAUGACCAUUGGCUCAAAGAGUUAAUGGUUAGAGAUAAGGGAAGGGCCUUAGUAUGAUAAGUUCUCAUGUUCCGUGUUGCAUAGACAUACAUAGAGAGACAUAGCAAUACAAUAGCAAUCGUGUUUGAUACAAAUCAAUUUAAAUACAACAUGCAAAUAAUAGUUUUUCUGGACAUGCUUUUCCACCCAAAACAUAAAAACUGAAAAUAGGGGAGUGCGUGAAUACUCACAAUAUGCAUUGAGAUGAUGCAAAUGGUGUCUUGAACUACGCUCCACUCGUACCACUAUCGUUUUCCUAAACGAUGUUACACACUAACGAGUCUCUAAUUGAAAUCAAAUACUAGUAUACUUACUACUACAAUAGAAUGAUGCCAAUAAUGUGUUAAAAUUUAAUAUUGAUCAGUUACAAACAUUUUUCUAAGGAAAUUAAGUUUCAAUGAAUCAAUUGUUAUAUAACAAUUUGAGUGGAAAAAUUUCCAUUAUUGAAAUGUUAAUAUUUAACAUUUUAGAGGUGUUCCAAUGAUUAAAUAUUCAAAAACUAAAUCAAUUUAGUUCUAAAAUUUCCCAAAGUUUGCAUUUCAGUUUUAAUUGAAGUCAAAGACCUUAAGAUAAAUUUUCUUGAAUCUUUUAUUUGUCUAACUAUUUUUCACCAUUUAAUUCCAUGAAUAAUCAUAAAAUCAUGGAAAAAUAGUAGAUUAUCAUGAAAAAUUCUUAUAAUUUUUUGUAACUAUUUUACAGUGUACAUAAUCUAGGAAAAUAUUAAUAUGUGUUUUCAAAAAGUUUAAUACAAUUUUUCUAAUUGUUUUGUAUUUACUCUAUAAAAAUAGAAAUAAAUAGGUAACAAUUUCAAAAAUUCACCAAAUGUUUUUUUUACAAGUGUUAUUACACAUACUUAAUCUGUGAACAAUAUAAAAAUGGGUUUCUAAACUGUUUAACCCAAUUUUAUGAUUUUUAUGCAUUUAUUCUAAUAAAAAUGGAGAUAAAUAGAAAAAAGUUUCCAAAAUUGUCCAAAAUUUUUGUAACAAUGUUAUUACAUAUAUAGAAGCUUUGAAAAAUAUAAUAGAUAUUUUUCAAUUAGUGUUGCUAUUUUUCCUUGUUUAAUCCUCUUAAAUAAUCAUUAAUUGAAUAAUAAUUAUUAAACAGUUAAAGUAAAUUAAAAAAAAAUUUGUACACUUCAUUUACAGAGUAGAUAAUCUGGGAAAAAUACGAAAUGUGGUUUUUAUAUAUGAAAUCUGAUUUUGUGUAUUUAAGUGUAUUUAAUCUUAGAAAAUAGGAGAAAAAUAGUAUACAGAGUAGAAAAAUCAUAAACAUUUUUAUGUAGCCUCCUAAUGUACUACAAGGUGUUCUAGUAAAUUUUCAUAAUUUUUGGAUGAGAAAAACUAUUUUUCCUGUUUUAGUCCAUUUUAAAUACAAAAAUCGGAGAAAAAUAGGAAUACAUUAUGAAAAAUUCUGGAAAUGUUUUUCUAAGUCUUCCAUAGAUCGUAUAAUCUGCGAAAAUUAUUAGAUACCAUUUUUAUAUUCCCUAAUGUGGUUUUUUUUAUUUAUUAGAGCUAAACAAAAAGAAAAUUCAAAACCAUAUUAAACAGUAACAAAAAUGGAUCAAACUUAAUGGGAGAUGUUUAUUAACUUAGAGGAUCAUGCAACGAUUUUUCCAGAAUUUAUUUGCUAGUUUAAGUAUUUUAUAUGAUUUAACACUCUAUUUUCUUAUUAUUUUCCUGUAAAAAUAAAGAAAAUAUAUGUUGGAUUAAUGUCUAAGUCCAUAACUAUAAUUGGUANNNNNNNNNNNNNNNNNNNNNNNNNNNNNNNNNNNNNNNNNNNNNNNNNNNNNNNNNNNNNNNNNNNNNNNNNNNNNNNNNNNNNNNNNNNNNNNNNNNNUCGGUUUUACAUUACAUUGACCCGAAAUAUCGGGUUGUCACAAAGUUGAACUGUACAGAUAUUAGAUAAACAACAUGUAAUUAAUAACUGUAAAGAAAAAUAGAUUUUUGCAUGUUAACUGUUUUAUCCAGCUUAAGAUGUUCCAAUCUCGCUUUCAACUCUUGUUAAAGUAUGAAUUUCUCUUUUAGAUUAUCAUAAGUAUUCGAAAGGUUUUCCAAAGGUUUUUCAUUCUUGGUUACUAAAGAGACAUCAAGUUGUAAUUUCUUGUUAAAGGUUUUCUUCACUUAAACUGUUUUAUCAAAUCGUUUUCAAAGCUUGUUUUACAAAAAUGAGAUCAAGUCGUAAAUUCUUAUUUGUGAUGGUUUUCCAAAGUUUUUACCAAACUUUUGUUCUAUGCUUCUAUUUCGUUAAAUGCAUGCCUAUAUUUGUAUAAUUAUAUAAAUAAUGUUUAGAGGACAUAGGAAGGCUAGUUCUCCCUAUUUCAUUUUCCUCGUUGGGAUGUGGUCUGGUGGGUUUCGGUUAUCCGUCCGAAGGUCGUUUAAACAUUAGUUAUAUAUCAUGUAUACAUGUAUGGACAUAAAAGCUCUCUCUCUCUCUCUCUCAGCCAAUUCAUCGCCUUGAGUAGUACAGGAAUCCUUCUAUUAUUCGUGUUUCUGGAACCCUAGUAACUACUAUAGUAAUAGUUAGGAGACUCUAUCUCUAUCUCUAUCUCUAUCUCUAUCUCUAUCUCUAUCUCUCUCUCUCUCUCUCUCUCUCUCUCUCUCUCUUUUACUUUAGAAUGUGACACACUAUUUCCCUCUACGAUGCUUCAUUGCGCCAACGCCUUGUAACCAGAGUCUCCGGGAAAAACUUAGAAAGAGUGAAUAUAGCACAUGUAAUCGAUCCUAUAUCCGAAGCAUAUGGGACAACCUCUACGACGCUUCAUGCCCCAAGCAUUUGGAAAAACUUAGAAAGAGUGAAUAUAGCACAUGUAAUCGAUCCUAUAUCUGAAGCAUAUGGGACACGAUUCAUGAUGUCUCACAUAAAGAUUAAACCAGUCUUUUGCUAUAAUAUUUCCAUUUCUAUUUGCCAAGUUCUCAUAAUUCAGAUCAUGAAAAGGGAUGUCGUAAUCAUAAUCGAAUUUUAGAACGCAAAUAAUGAACCCAUAUAUAGAAUUUCCUUAUGUUGAGCCAUCCCAACAUGAAAUUCAUAUAUAUUCUUGACUAAAUACGAUUAAGACCUCAAUCUAAGCUUUUAGAUUUGAGAUGAAGUAUAAUUUCCUCUCCCUUAAUUAUAGCAAAACAACUUUUUCAACCCCUGCAACCUCACGAAUUGAAACUUUUGUUUUCUAUAAUUAACAUUGCUAACUUGCAAUACUUAACAUAAUUAUCAUGCUCCCACUAACAUGAUGCUUAUUAGCAUAACACUUAUGCUCCUACUAGCUUUGACAUGUACCCAUAAAUCAACUGAACUUCUAGAAAUCAUUACUUUAUUGAGUUUCUUACCAAAGUUCAGAUUUCGGAUACUAGAUUGCCUUGAUAAGACUUUAUCAAUAUCAUACACCUCUCUUAGAUAGCUCACAUUUGUGUCUAAACAAUUAUGAAGAGGGAUGCCGUAAUCAUAAUGUUUAGACCUUUUGUCAUUCCCACAAUUUCUAUCUACUCAAAAUCUACUUAGUGAAAGAGUUUCCUUACCAUCAUUUUCAUGAAUCGAAGAGAAACCUUAUGACACUUAGAUUUAAUGGUGUAUGUGUUCUUAUCCAUGUGAAUUGUCAAAACCAUAGUCACAAGACAAGGAUAAUGACAAAUCCAAACUCAUAUGGAUUGAACUUGUGCAAUCUUAACUUCUUGCCACCUGGCAGCUCAAGGGCCUGCCAUUGCUUCCAAGUAGUUAUGCAAACAAUUGAGAACAUGUAGAACUCAAAUGUAUAGCCAACUUAACUGGAAUGGGCACAGAAAUGUCAGCACGAUAGGUUAUAAACCUCUACUUGUGUGCUAGCGAUGAAAUACAGGUUUUAUUCUUGAUUACUUCUUGAAACCUUUUUCAGGAUCUUUUAGACUCCCACUGUCUCCUUGACCUAUACGACUUUCUUGCCAAAUAUUCAAGAGAUAGUGUGGAUUCUAAUCAAGACAGACACUUAACACAAUUAGCCUUAGUUGGUCUUUGUUUUAUCCAAAACAUCANAACUCAUAUGGAUUGAACUUGUGCAAUCUUAACUUCUUGCCACCUGGCAGCUCAAGGGCCUGCCAUUGCUUCCAAGUAGUUAUGCAAACAAUUGAGAACAUGUAGAACUCAAAUGUAUAGCCAACUUAACUGGAAUGGGCACAGAAAUGUCAGCACGAUAGGUUAUAAACCUCUACUUGUGUGCUAGCGAUGAAAUACAGGUUUUAUUCUUGAUUACUUCUUGAAACCUUUUUCAGGAUCUUUUAGACUCCCACUGUCUCCUUGACCUAUACGACUUUCUUGCCAAAUAUUCAAGAGAUAGUGUGGAUUCUAAUCAAGACAGACACUUAACACAAUUAGCCUUAGUUGGUCUUUGUUUUAUCCAAAACAUCACAACUUACCAAUUUCAAAUGUACAAGAGUAGAAAACUUUUACUCUUACAUUUGACAAGUGUUUUAAACCUUCUUUAAGACAUGUCACUCAAGUUACAAUCUUAGAGUAUAACUCUAUGAAUUGUUUUGGAAUGAAGUAUGAAUCAUCUUCUUGAUUUAACCACUUCAACAAUUCAUAACUCCUCUUCUUAACUAUCAGAAUGUACUUAGAGGAUGAAUUGUGAUAAGGUCUCAAAAUCAUUAAGAUGACCUUAAAACAUGAUACUAAAGUACUCUCCCAUCUUUUCAGAUUUGAGAAACUUUUAUCCUUCUGCCUAAUUUGAUUCUUCUUAUUCGUUCUGUCAUACAUUGAAAAUUUUCCAAUGUUUCAGAAUUAUACUUAAGCUUGUAAGUAUAAUCAUAUUUACUAAACCUUAGUAAAUCAUGACGAAUAGUCUUAUCCAUCUUUUGUGGUGGACUUUGACAAGUGCACAAGAAAGUGUACUUGAUCCCUUAGUCCUUCUCUUGACUCACACAUCCAUGUGAACAAGUAGUUAGUCUUAAUUUUUCCAAUGCUCGAAAGUUCUCAUUCAUCAUACUAUACAACUUGCAUGAUUCCAAGUUUCGGUCCAAUUGAAACUUGGGUGAUGAGAAUCUUUCCUUAUUUGGUAAAUUUAGACACUACCACAAAUGAACGAAUCAAAUUCAUAUUUCCAAUAUUGCUAUAAACAUACAAACAUCAAGUUUUCAUGAAUGCCAUUGUAAGGAGAUAAAAAUAAAGUAAAACAAACUUGUAUUUAUUUUAAUAUGCGGAAAAAACUUUUUCCUUACAAUGUAACUUGAAAUGAAAACUAUUUUAUUACUUGUUUCCUAACAAUCAAUCAUAGCUCCUAAGAGUAGCUCAAGAAUCCAAUCUUCAAUCAAGCGAUAGAAAUCCAUCUUUGCGAUCAGAUUCAACAUACUCUUUCUUUAAGUUUCCUUCACUUGUCCUUUGAUUCUUAAACGUCAACAUGUGACCCAAUCACAUCUUGUAAUAAGUAUCUUAGAAUAGAAACUUAACCGAGUUAGAUAGUGGACCUUACCUGAAAUAGAGUCAAACUUAUUGACUUUACUAGCCUUAUGAUCUUUCAGGUAAAAUUGACAGCUUCGCAACCAAUGCCAUUUCCUUUUGGAAAUAGGACCAUAUGGACCCUUAGGUAAUAGUACAUGGGACUAUCUCAGACUUAGCCUUUCUCUUUACCAUUUGCUUAACCGAGUUGACUAUGGCCGAUCCCUUUCCAUUGGGAAGAGAAUGCUUUUGUCCCUGUCCAUAAAGUUUUGGGAAGUUGGUCUCCUAAUCAAUUUGCUUUACAAGUACACUAAAUCAUUUCUGAUUUAGCAGCACCAAGCAAAUAGAUAAGAUCAUUAAGGGUCUUUUCAUAGUCUGUUUCAUAGGAGUCCUAAGGAACUCACUAUGUGACUUAGAAAGUGAUUGAACCACUAACUUUCUUAAGACUUUGAGACCCAACUCUCCCGGCUUGUCAGUAUGUGACUUCAUCUUCAAGAUGUGAUCACACCUAGACCUUGCCUUGCCAAUAGGGCUUGAGUGACCUUGAACUUGUGGGUUAGGGAGAAUAAUUGGAGGAGGUGGAGGAAGUGAAGUUCCAAGAUAUUUGGGAAGAUCAUAGAUGUCUGAACUUGACAUCUUUUGGGAGAUAUUCAAUAUAGUUGAUUUAAAGUCCUUAAUAUAACACCCAAUAUGAAAUAUUAAGGCUAGGACCCAACAAACUAUUUUAUAACUUGGAAGAGGGAUGCCGUAAUCCAAGCUAUAGAAUAUUUGAAGGUAGGUGAAUUACGAUUCACCAAUUUCCACCAUGUAAAACAAAAUAAUUUAUUAGGUUUUAAUUGGAUUUGAAACUCCUAGAUCUUUUGAGAUUCAUUGAACUUUUCAAUGGCAUGUUUCAAUCUCAAGUGUGCCCUUCAGGUUUUGUGACUGGGAUGCGGAGGAUCACAAAACAAGGUGUGAAGUAACCAUGCAAAUUACUUGGUACCCUUAAGUGUUUACCCCUCAAUCGAUGUGCCCGUUAACCACACAUGCUCCAUCGAUACUAUGAUAAACAUCAAGUUAUGGAAGACAUUAAAUCAUUUAAUGAUGACAUUAAAAAUAGAGACUCUUCUAUUUUCAUAACCUAUGAGACUUAAUGACACUUUAAAAAGAAAAACUCUUCACUUUCCAUAACUUGAGGACAAGUUAUGGAGUUCAUAAAAACCAUUAAGAUCAAAUAUUCCAAUUAACACAAUAAUCAAAUAAUUUUUCUAUGAUCUAGAUUAAACUCAUAAGUAAAGAUAAUUCACAUCAACAAUUUUCAAGAAAUUAGAUAAUCAUAUAAACUAAUACAAAUCUUGAAACUUUGACAAUUAUCCUUUGAAGACUCUUGGACUUCAUAACCUAAAGAGUUAAUAAAUGAGACAUUUCACAUCCAUAACUUAUGGAAGUUUCAAAACUCUUAAGAUCAUUUGUUUAAAAAUAACUUUUGAGUUCCAAAAUUUUAUGACAAAAUUUGUAACUCCUUAAAACCACUUAGAUGAAACUUUUAAAACAAAUAAAAUAAUCAUAUCAUUCUAUCUUUUAAUAAAUUGACCUAAUUCAACUCUUGUACUAAGGUGACUCAAAUUUUACAAAUAAUUAGUUUUUCAUAAAAUCAAGUAAUUAUCAUAAAAAAAAAUACAUUUGCAUCAAAUAUAGUAGAAAACAACCCAUGGCUCUAAUACCACUGUUGGGUUUUGGUAUAAUACAACAUCAUAUGGUGCACAUACAACCCUAAAUACCUUGGAUCUAUGUUUUCACUAAUUAUACAUGCAAAUGGUUUCCAAGGCAUUAAACCUAUAACGAGCAUGCAUUUGACAUAAACCAUAUAAUAUACUAGUUAGGAAAACAUACCUUUUAUGUGGCUUGAAGUCUUGAUGUAUUUGGACUUAAGAGCUUAGCACCACUAGUAUGAAAUGCCUAAAAUGGAAUCACAAUACACCUAGGACAAAGGUGGCUCUUGAGAGAGAAUUCCAUGCACCAAAACACCUCUAUAUUUCUCUAAGAAAACAAGUGGUGAUUUUGGCUAUGGAGUAACCUAUUUAUAUAUAGGAUUCCAAGGGUCAUGGGUAUAACCCAUAAUCCAUACCCAUGGGUUUUAUGAUCCAUGGUUCAUGUGGCCCAACUCUUUAUGUACCCAUACAUAAACUUGGUCCAACAUGGAUCAUAAGCCCAACAUAUAUAAAUAUAACUACUUAUCAUAAUUAGUCCCCAUAGAUUUAAUUAGUCUCUUUUGAUCACUAAAUUAAUUCCAAAUUAAUUCUUGAUAGAUACUAAUUAAAACAUAUGAUUUCAUAUUAAUAUAUAAUAACUUAUAAUAUAUUAAUAAACCAUAAAUACCCUUCUCUCAUAAGUCCAUCCUAACAAAUUGUCCUGAUGAUCUGCAACCUAAAUGGACCAUGCUACUCUCGGGUCAAGUACAUACCAAUAAUAGUCAUGGGCUUAGACAUCUAAUCCAACAUAGGUAUCUAUCCGAAGAAAACCAACGCCGGUCCUAGUCAAGGAUAAGAGGUAGACAGAGGGAGCCAAUACAUGGAACCCGAGAAGUGACUUUUCCUCGUUAUUGUCGCACUAAUACACCCAUAAAAUAAUAAAAUUUAGUGAGUCAGUGAUUACACUACUCACACUAUGUGUUAGGUAAUCCGCCUUUUCUCGUUGCAAGUAAUACGAUUAGAUCGGAUCUCAAAACCUCGAUUGAGAGUGUUUAGCCAUAAGUCUUCAUGAGCCUUUCUUUCCGCAGUCUUCGUUCCGAACUGUCCUCNUUCUUAUGUGAUUUCGUUCCAAACUUCCCUCAAAUCUUUCCAAAGCUGGAGUGUGAACCUUUCCAGCAUAAAGAAAACUUAGUAGGAACGAUUCACAUCUUAUGGCUUUCCGAUACUCUUACUCCUACCUUGAAUACCCGGACUACAUCAUAGGGACGUUGGUCGCACUCAGAUAACCAAUAUUCGAGGAAAACCAUGCCUCUGAAGAAACAUAACCAAUCCGCUGGCAAGAAACCGACUCUCCUAUUCGAUGAAGCUACGUUCCAAGUUGCAGUCUCGGCAUCCGUAGCAGCUGUCAUGACUUAACUGAAUGAUAACAGCGCCAACAUUAGCAGGAGCCCUAUCGGGAAUCCCGAUCAGAGCAAUGGACAGCAGCAACCAACACCUGCAUACCCAGCCACCCAAGAACCUCAAGCAGAUCCACCCAAAAGGAAAUUCAAGAGCGAAGAGGGAAGUACCUCGACUCAAGGACCUUCCAAAAGGCAACAAGCUGAGGUAGUCAAUACCCCUGCCAACCCUUCCAUCCCGACAUCAAGAAGACCAUACCUAUGAAACCUUCCCCACUACAGCAAAUGUAGCUACCAUCAUCAUGGUAUAUGUCGAGAAUUCUUUUUGCACUAGCUGCAACAAGAAGGGGCAUACCGCUCGUACUUGUAGAACCUCGGUUGAGUUCAUCACAUCAACCACCAAUGUGGCGACCAGUCCAGUAUGCCCUCUAUGUGGUGAGAUUGGACACUUCAAGAAGGACUGGCCAACUGAAGGAAACGACAAGGGCACAGGAGGGGUGUAACCCUAAUGCCUAGGGAGAAGCAUCAAGGAAGCCGGUAGAAAUUUUGGUACGUCUCUCAAUCUCAGAUAACUAACCGAAAACAUUAAAAGGCUAAUUCUAAAUGUAAUUACUCUCCUGUUAAGGCAAAAGUCGCAGCAUUGUUGUAAGAUUAAAAAUUUUCAUCAGGUAAAGCUAUAUGGCUCAAUAUACACGUUAAAGCCAUGUAUAAUUAAGAUGGAUAGACCUCGAGUGAGUGAUGCUGCCUUAUUUCUUGUUCCUCGUUUGGUUGUAGAUUUAGGGCGGAGUUGCUCAGUCAACAGUCCUUCCCACCUUAACUAUACAUGAAUAGUGUAUGUUAGGCGAUUAUAGAAAGGACUCGUGAGAAUCCAUUCAUGAAAAGCACCCUAUUCUGAAACACUCAGGAUCCUCUAUGGUUUCACGUCGACUCUAUCGGUCCAAGUAUCUGCGACAGUGAUACAUUGGAUGAAACCCGAGACGCCAAGAACUUGUGUGCCCGUUCAGCACAUGGCCCUAUCAACCCUCAUUCUAUUUCAUGUUGAUGUAUGCCAACUUCUAUGCCUCUAUCAAUCAUGGUUCGACUUAGUGCAACCAUGUGAAAAUUCCUCGUGUUGUGUAAAAGGAACUUUCACCGUAGCCAUUUUGGCAAAUAAAGGUUCUUCUGAACCUAAUAUUAAAACCUAAUGUGAUCUGUCAGUCGUCUCACUUACCUAAAACCUUCCGAAGUACCCAGGAGAAGAGUACCGCACGCUGUUAACCAACCCUUUCUUAGAUAGAUAGAACCCGAAGCGAAAGACACUACAGGUAUUUCAGAAGAUGAUAACCACCCGAAGCUUACUCCGUAGAUCCCCCAGAAAGACGCUUAGUACCUCACAAUCAGGUUCGUGAAUCCAGAGGAGAGAACUCAUGGGACUGACUACUAUAUCUGAGUAUAUGCAUAAGGGUGGUAUAUAAUUGAGAUAAAAAAGAUUUAAGAUGUGUGCUUCCUCCCUACUCCCUGUUCCUCGUUGGGUUGUGGGUCUGGAGUGGAGUCACACAACUGAACAUCCUGUCGACCUCAAUUAUAUAUGGCUUGCAUACAUCAAGUAUUAGUGGUUAAGCCAAGUAUGAGCUCUACCACGAACCUCAUAAUAAAACCCUUCAUCCUAUCCCAUAGAAUAGCAACUAGAGUUAAGAGAACCACUGCGGGUUGAGCUACUAAAAUGACCACAAAUCCGAAAUUUUUUUUGUCAUCCCGGUUAAGCCAACAUAGUAGCUAACACCCUUAGUUGGUAAAGAAAUCUGAGUCGUAAGUGUCAAGGAAAUUGACUACGACCAUCCAUCCACGCUUAAUCCCACGAAUUAAGCGUCUGAAAAGAGAUCCCAGGAACCUGGAAGUGAUGACAGGUUAAACUCUGAGAAGAGUGGAUGAGGAAAUUAGAAGUUCCGGGUAACGGAACCCUAUACUCUUUAGAUUUGAUCUAGAUCGAGAAAGCUAUGAAACACCAGAAGAGUAGUUGCAAAAGAUAAUCGCACUACUCGGGCGCUUAGUCCACCUUGCUACUGACGAGUAGUGCCUAUGACACUCCGCCUCCUCACGUGGAAGAAGUCAUCGUCGCCCUGUAGACAAUAGACUGCAUUCUCUGAAGUGAAUACUAGAAUGCCAAGAGCCACAUGAUAACCUCCACAGACAAGAAUACUUGAAUAAAGUACGAAAGUAGGUUGCAUUAAGCCUUAUAACCUAGAUCCCGAAGAGAUUAUAGACUCAACACCAGUCUAGGUGUUAGUCGAUGGGUUAUACAAGAGCACGUGCUUUCUGCAACUGGAAUAAACCGACACCUUAGAGAUUAGGGAAUGUCUUAGAAAUUAAUUGGACUACUAGAUAGUCCAACACUUCAGAAAAUCUCUAAAGACUGAGUCAUCCCCGAGCAGAGAUUGUUAUUCAUGAAACAACAAAGUAAUUAAGAGCAUGAUUCUUUCUUGUUAGAAAUCAUAUCGUGAAAGCGUCAACUAGACGAUGAUGAGAAGUUUAAAAACUUUCUAAACAAUCGUCUAGUAAAUCCCUAUCUCACCCACCCCGAGAGCUUCCGUUAGAAACAUCUCAAGAAUCAGAAGUGCAGGUUCAUUUUAGACUAGGUUGAGAUAGACACCCUGCAGCAAAUGGAUACCCGUAGACAUCCAAUUCAUCUGAUGAUCCAGAAAACCUCUGAAAGCCAAUCAGCCGGAAACACGAAUCCGAGGAUGAAUCGAGCCUUCUAAGGACCAAACCGAAGAACUACACACCAGUAUGAGAGGACGUCUGGAACUUCAAAAUGGCAAUCACACCAGUGAUUAUCUCGCCAUAGAAGUACAUUAUGUUCUAAGUACUGAAAAGCUCUAUCUUUCCGAGAGCUUAGGACCAUUCGAGAUUCUUUACAAAAAUUUGUCCAACCCUCGUCAGACCACGACUACUUUCGGAAUUCCAUAAGUUUCACCCCGAAUCAAUCCACAUCUUAGAUUUGAAAGAGUGCUUGCCCGAUGUAACUCUCUAAAUCACACCUGUCUUGAUAAAAAUCAUUGGGAACCUUAGUGUGACAACCGUCAAAAUUCGAGUUAGUUCUAGAUUUGAAUAAACUUAGUUACACAUAUAGGCACUACACAUAUUAGACCUAGUAACUAGAAGCUAAGUUAUAACCUAGUAGAAUCUUGGAAAUAGAUAAAGACAAUGGAUAAUGUGCUUGGAUUUGACAUUGGUAUGUGAAUUCUACAACUACUUAACUGUAGUGACUAUCCAUAUUCGGGUUACUCUUUGACUCGAACAACAUUUCAUGAAUCAUACACACACAUAAUGCACUUGACCUAGAAGUAGAAGUUAGUUCAAAGUCUCAUAGAAACUUAAGUCAAAGUUGAAAACUAGGACUAGUAUACUUGAUCCCUCAAUUUCGCUUGAAUCUCGAAACCACUACAUAGAAUGCCAAUAAACCGAUAAAAUAAGUUACAAAUAUUAUUUAUAAGUAUAAAAGAGUUAUAAUACCAUAAGAUAAAUUAAAGUCUCAAAGAUUCUAUUGCUUUUGAUAUCUAAAGAUUUAUUAAAUCUCAAAACCCUAAAAGCCGUAAACCCUAAAUUUUAAAAAAUUUGACAUCAAGAAUUCUAUAAAAAUAAUUAUGAAACUUAUAAUAUUACCUUAAAACAAUUAAAUUCAGGGAAAUAUAAUCAAGGAAAAUAAAAAUUUAAGUCAUUAACAUUCAUCCUUAAUUUAUAAGUCAAAAAUCAAGGUUUCAUGAAUAAAAAGUUGAUUUUAGUGCACAUUUUAUAUAAAAUUUAGAUAUUUUAUAAAAUAACUUAAAUUUUAUAAAACAAAAUGAAUGAGAAAGGGUUAUUAUACUCAAAAUUUCGGACCCCUCUCUUCCCAUAUCUCUCUCUCACACUCUCAUUCUCCAACACACACACACACACACAUCUCUCUUCUUUCUCUCUCUACCUUCUCUCUAAAUUUUUCUCCAAACACCACUCCAUUCUCUCUUCCACCCUCUAAGAACCACGAAAUUUUCCAGAAAACAAACCCAAGAACACUCCUCAAUCUCGAAAUCUUCAUCAUCUUAUGGUGUUCUUGAAGGUAAAAUCGAAUUCUAGUUCACUUUUCCUUCAAGUUUUGCUAUUUUUCUUACACUUCUACUUCUUCAUCUUCUUCAAACUUGUUUUCUUUUUGUUAAAAUGGUUUUUAGAAUAUCAAGGAUGUGUUCUAACACCAUGCAUGUAUGAUAAACAAGGUUGCAUGUUCAUGAUCUUAGUGCAAAAAUCGAUUUUAAGGACUAAAACAUCAAACUCAAGUUAAGAGUUUUUGAGAAACAAAAUUUUGUUCAUAAAUGCAUGUAUACAUUUUGAUAAGUUUUAAUCUUUUGAUCUCUGGAAACAUGACUAAAAUAUGAGUUUAUCAUGAUAUAUUUAAAUUAUUUCAAAAGAUUUACUCAAGGAAAUGAUGAAAACUCACUUUUCUAACCAAAAUUUGUGAUUCUUUUUUUUGAAAUAUAAUAUUUUGAGUUAGCUUUCAAACCCAUCUGACCUCACUGGAAAAUUCCAAUAUUUCGAUUUUUAACAAUUUUUACAAAACUGUUGCUCAAACAGCACUUUCCUUAUGAACAUUUGUUUUGUGUUGCAUGUUCAAAGGACGUAUUCAUCACUAAAAAUCAUUCAAAAAUUAUUUUGAACUCUUAACAGCAUGUAUUAAGAGGUACACAAAGAUCUUGAUUUAAAAGUCUUUGUAACAUGUUGCAAAAAUUCUCAAAGUAACAUCAAUAAUCUUUACCAAAGUCACAAGAACCAAGUUUUCUCUAUAAUUUAUUGAGCCUUUAGGCAUGUUUUUCGACAUCAAAAAUAAGAGAACAAUUUUUCAAUGUUACUAAAUUCUAUGUAGAUGUGUUCUGAAAAUGUUCAGCUCAAUAUAUAUUGUUGAGUUUUCAGCAUUCUAACACUCCUAAGUGUACAUGCAACCCUAAAUACCUUGGAUCUAUGUUUUCUCUAUUAUACAUGCAAAUAAGAACUUCCAAGGUAUUAUCCUAAUCUAGCAUACAAAACAAUAACUAUAGCAAGAUAGAAUACAUACCUCUUUGAUGUAGAAAGUCUUCAUGAAGCUUGAGUGCCUAGUGCCCCAAGUGUGACACCUCAAAUGGAAUCACAAUCAUCAAAACACUUGGAAUGACUUGAGAGAAUUCUACACUCAUCAAAAUCGGCUAGCCCUCUCUAGAAUCAUACUAGUGUGAUUCUAGUUGCCAAUUUUGUCAAGAAUAAGAUCUUUAUAUAGUGUUACAAUUAGGGCAAACCCUAAUUGUCAUGACUUUCCAUUUCCAUGGAUCCAUGGGUUCAAAUACACCAUGGAGCAUCCAUGGACCAUCCUAUGGGUUUUAGCCCAACUUGAUUAUCCAUGGAGCAUUAGCCCACUAUACAAGUAUGGAUGAUUUACACAAUCAACCCAUAUAUUUAAUUAGUCUUCUUUUGAUCACUUAAUUAAUCCUAGAUUAAUUCUUG
This 31868-nucleotide long non-coding RNA is filed under the name Lactuca sativa (garden lettuce). Its description in RNAcentral is "long non-coding RNA (LSAT_LNC004099)". Lineage: Eukaryota; Viridiplantae; Streptophyta; Magnoliopsida; Asterales; Asteraceae. The record is from RNAcentral.